GCGGUCAUCGUUCAGUGGCAGGAUUUGAGUCCGCCAGUCUCAAGACGCGGGUUCGAUUCCCGCUGACCGCUCCA
Molecule: transfer RNA, 74 nt
Filed under: Alphaproteobacteria bacterium
Lineage: Bacteria; Pseudomonadati; Pseudomonadota; Alphaproteobacteria
Description: tRNA-Gly
Rfam family: tRNA
About the family: Transfer RNA (tRNA) molecules are approximately 80 nucleotides in length. Their secondary structure includes four short double-helical elements and three loops (D, anti-codon, and T loops). Further hydrogen bonds mediate the characteristic L-shaped molecular structure. tRNAs have two regions of fundamental functional importance: the anti-codon, which is responsible for specific mRNA codon recognition, and the 3' end, to which the tRNAs corresponding amino acid is attached (by aminoacyl-tRNA synthetases). tRNAs cope with the degeneracy of the genetic code in two manners: having more than one tRNA (with a specific anti-codon) for a particular amino acid; and 'wobble' base-pairing, i.e. permitting non-standard base-pairing at the 3rd anti-codon position.
Source: RNAcentral